This 2916-nucleotide small RNA is filed under the name Pan troglodytes (chimpanzee). RNAcentral's name for it is "retained intron". Lineage: Eukaryota; Metazoa; Chordata; Mammalia; Primates; Hominidae. The record is from RNAcentral.
AAUAAGCACAUGGACAAGUGGGCACAGACUCGCAGGCCAGAUGGACCUCCAGCCACGGCCGGGCCAGACUUGUGGACACAGGCGCAGUGUCACAUACAGACCACGGGGAGACAUGGCACUAGGGGACAAACGGACGUGACACCACAAUGCACAGGGCAGGCCACAGAGCUCGAGGGACGUGGGCAGGGGCCUUUUGGCAUUUCUGCGCUGGAAUCAUGUGAGACAAGGGUGGUGGCCGCUCUGGAGGUGCCUGGGGGGUUCCCUCAUGACCCCUCUGGGCUUAGUCCAUCCUCCACACUGUUGUGCAGCUUCUCCACCUCCUGGUAGAGGAUAAAUACUGUUACCCUUAUCCCUGGUCACAUCCAGGGAGACGCGGUCCAGCGGCCCAGGCGGGGGACAGUGCCGUUCUAGAGGUCCUUGAGCCCCUCCUUCCUCAGGAUCUGCAGUCAUAGGCCGGUGUGUUCCGCAUUUGUGCUGCUCCAGGCCCCGCAUCCGGGUCUCGAUCCCAUCCAGAGGAGCGUUUCCCAAGACACUGGCUGCGCCCACAAUGGCUCCGAAGACCCCAGCGACCAGCGGGUCCAUGGGCUUGCUGGGGUUGUCCCCUCGGUACCAGCUGUGCAGGGAGGUCAGGAGGAGAAGCAGACGGCCUGGUUCCAGCCCUGCUUCAGCGUGGGUGCCAUGAGGCCCCGGUGAGUCCCCUUGUUCUCGCACAAUCUCUCUAACCUGGUGGGAGACUCCUCUGCACUGGAGGUCUGGAAAGGUCUGGCCGUGGAUGAACUUCACCUUGAUGGUGUCCAUGGAACAUACGACCACCAUGGCCUCGGCCACGCCAGCGCCCUGGCCGCACCGCAGCCAGCGCUGCCGUCAGGCCGUCCCUGGGCAUCCCGCGUCUGGCUGCUGUGGAACUGGAACAUUCAGAACCCCAACGCCGCCCUGGAGACAAGAGCCGCAGAGCAGGGAGCUGAGGCCGCGGUGCCGGCCCCCGACGCCAUGACCGCGACAGUGCGCACGCGGGAUCCAUGCGCGGUGCCCGGCUGGUGCCAGCGCUCGUCCGGCUGCAGCUACGACCUCCCGCGCUCCGUGGGGAGCGGACGCCCAUUUCAAUGCCGCCGGCCAGGCCGCCUGCCUGGUGUCGCCUUCCCCGGAGCCUCUGCUGCGCCUUCCCGGACGCGGCGCGGCGUGGCCACGGCGGGCGGGAGGCGGGCGCCCGCUGUGAUCUGAAGUCCCAGCCUCCUAAACUCCGCACUGGGACCUUAAUUUGGUUUUAACACAAAUGAAGAUCUCACUAAAGAUAAAAAGGGAUGUCUUGGCUUCUAAUUUUUGUUAAAAGCAAUAGCAUAUGUUGUAUAGGAUAGUGCAUUGGGGUAAAUCUUUUUUUAAUUAUUUUUAUUUUUUCAUCAGCCCACUGACAUUGAAAGGGGAUAGUUUUUAGGUUAUUGACGAGCAGUUUUCUCUCAGAUAACUGCCUUAGUAUAGGGGUUUGUGGUCACGUUGAUGAGAGCGUAGGCUGGGGUUAAAAGUCGUUAUGGCAGUAACAACCUUCUGAGGACCAGGAAAUUCAAAUCCCUCUCAUGAUACUUUGCUAAUAUCUCCCGAGUUUGCUGUGCCUUCCCUUUGUACCUCUUCCCACACGUGGUUUCUUGCACUUGGCCCAGCUAUAUUCCACUGUUUUGACUCCAUGCUUCUUAGCCUGGUGGCAGUGGUGAGGGAGUGAGGAGAUCUCUAAUGUUCUGAGGAAGCCUCAGACUUAGCACUGUGAACUGGGGUGUGGGGUUACUGACCGUUGAAGAGUUUCCUGCCCAUCCUGUACAUGCAAUGCCAGGACAAGAGCACAUUCCUGUCCCUCCUUGUCCAUGGUAGGGGAAACGUGCUCCUUCUCCAUGCUCUUAACUCCCAGUUGAAGUGGGCCUUGAACAGUGCCCUGUAAAUUAAUGGUUUCUUUUCUUUAUGGGAGAUGCAUCUGUGCAGAAAUGUGGGUGUUGGCCUUGUUCCUUCACCCUCAGUUCCAUGAGCUUUUCCCCAGUGCCCUUUGGCUCAGGUUUGGAUGCUCUUUCUCUGCAGAUUAGGCCUCCUGUUUUAUAGGAGAGAUGUGAGGGCUGUGUCUCCAGAGUUGCAGUAGUGGAUGGGAUAGUGGUCCCUCCCCAUCAGCACUGUGGGGUAAGCAUCCUCAGGAUUCUACCCCCAUCUUCCCUGACAGGCCCUGUAGGGUUCCUAGAAAAAUUAUACACAACGGUAUAAACCCUAUGUCUGUAGACUCCAGGGUUUCUCAUUCUCCUCACCCACCCACACACAGCCACCAGGAACUAGUUCAAAAGUUCUGGCUUAAUUUUACCAGUUUACAUGGUCUUCAGGGUACACAUAAAAGCCUGGAGCCUGUGUGACCUGCAGGCUUUCUGCAUCCCCUGAUGUUGGGUUUGUAGUCUGCCCUGUGACUUCAGUUCUUUAAAGGGCUCAGGAGAAACCAUCCAUUCAUUUGAAGUUUCUCCAGCAUUUUUGUUUGUUUGUUUAAUGUGUAGGAGCAACUCUUUGUCAGGUCUCUAUAUCUACAAACUUAACUCAGAAACUAAUAUUUUUAAAUAUAUUUCUUUUCUAUCAUACUUUUAGUGCUCCUCUACCUAUGCUAAUUGUUCUUCAGUAUUUUUUAUAUUUGUAUGUCUUUAUCUAUUUUAAAAUCAGGUUUAAUUGCUUCUUAAUCGAAUUAAUAACUUUUCAUUUAUUUCCCUAUGUAACUUUCUUUUCAGACGUUUAAAGUAUUGCUGUGUGUUUCAAGUGGAGGAGGUCAUAUUACAACUGACAUUUGUCCUUGACUACUGGACAUAUCACACCAGCCCUGAUUGCAGUUAUACUUGAAGCCAGAUCUACCCUUAACGUAUAUUCAUUUUACUAUUCAAUAAAUAUUAACUUAUCAUGAAUGGU